GACGGACGCUGGCGGCGUGCUUAACACAUGCAAGUCGAACGGAAAGGCCCCAGCUUGCUGGGGUACUCGAGUGGCGAACGGGUGAGUAACACGUGGGUGAUCUGCCCUGCACUCUGGGAUAAGCCUGGGAAACUGGGUCUAAUACCGGAUAGGACCGUGCUUUAGUGUGUGCGGUGGAAAGUUUUUCGGUGCAGGAUGAGCCCGCGGCCUAUCAGCUUGUUGGUGGGGUAAUUGCCUACCAAGGCGGCGACGGGUAGCCGGCCUGAGAGGGUGUACGGCCACAUUGGGACUGAGACACGGCCCAGACUCCUACGGGAGGCAGCAGUGGGGAAUAUUGCACAAUGGGCGCAAGCCUGAUGCAGCGACGCCGCGUGGGGGAUGACGGCCUUCGGGUUGUAAACCCCUUUCGGCAGGGACGAAGCUUUUGUGACGGUACCUGCAUAAGAAGCACCGGCUAACUACGUG
This 465-nucleotide ribosomal RNA is filed under the name uncultured bacterium. Its description in RNAcentral is "partial 16S ribosomal RNA". It matches the Rfam family "Bacterial small subunit ribosomal RNA", at positions 28 to 507 of the family's 1533-position model. The record is from RNAcentral.